GACGAACGCUGGCGGCGUGCUUAACACAUGCCAGUCGAACGGAAAGGCCCUGCUUUUGUGGGGUGCUCGAGUGGCGAACGGGUGAGUAACACGUGAGUAACCUGCCCUUGACUUUGGGAUAACUUCAGGAAACUGGGGCUAAUACCGGAGAGGAGCUCCUGCUGCAUGGUGGGGGUUGGAAAGUUUCGGCGGUUGGGGAUGGACUGUGGGCUUAUCAGCUAGUUGGUUGGGUAGUGGCUUACCGAGGCUUUGACGGGUAGCCGGCAUGGGAGCGUGACCGGGCACAAUGGGCCUAAGGUAGGGACCAGUGGGCAAUGGGGGGCAGUGGGCGAAAACAUUGCACAGCGAGGCGGCGUGUGAUACGGCAGCGUCGCGUGCGUAAAGACGGCUUUGGGGGUGUGAACCGCUUUGGGCUGAGACGAAGCGUUAGUGACGGUAAUGGGUAAAGAAGCACCGGCUAACUACGUG
Molecule: ribosomal RNA, 468 nt
Filed under: uncultured bacterium
Lineage: Bacteria
Description: partial 16S ribosomal RNA
Rfam family: Bacterial small subunit ribosomal RNA
Source: RNAcentral